RNAcentral lists this long non-coding RNA (1419 nucleotides) under Medicago truncatula (barrel medic). RNAcentral describes it as "lncRNA gene4809". Lineage: Eukaryota; Viridiplantae; Streptophyta; Magnoliopsida; Fabales; Fabaceae. The record is from RNAcentral.
GUACAAUUUGAAGAAAACCAACCAACCCUCGAGUAUGGGAUUAAUUUACCUUGAAGAAACAGGGUUUAAGGCUCUAGCAAAGCCAUUCAUAGCCCCAUAACCCUUAGAACUAAAUCCCAAACAACCAAGCAGACCUUGUCUAUAAGGCAAAAACGUCUUUCUCCUCAACUCUUCAGCUUGAGCCCUAUUUGCUUUAUAGUGUAACUCAUGUGGAGAAGGUGGAACACGUCUCUUCCCAACACCAUUCAUAGGUUUUCCCGUCAUUUUCUUACCCCAACUUCCUUUACUAGAAGAUGAUGAUGAUGAUGAUGACCCAUUUCUUUGUGUUUCACAAGUUUUCUCCUUUGAAAUCUGGGCUUGUAGAUUUUGAUUAUUUGAGCUAGAUUUCUUGUCUUUUGUUGGAGAAAAUGAAAUAGUUGACCAAAACUUGUUGUUACUUCUUCCUUCACUUUUGCUUCUAAGAAAAUCCUUCAAGAAAACCCAUCUUUUAGAGCUUCUUCCAGCUGAAGAAGAUCUAGAAGAUGAAGCUGAAUCUAAAGGUGUUAUCUCUAUUCUUUCUAAACCCAUUUCAUCAACCUUAACAUUCUCCAUUUCAGAACAAUCAUUUCCAUUUUCAUUAUUUUUGUUGUUCAUUUCAUCUUCAAUCUCACAAGCAACGUUGUUUUUGUUGUUGUUGUCGUCUUCGUUUUCUGUCCAUUCUAAAUGACUGUUGUUCCUUAAAGGAGACAUAGAUCUGGUUCUUCUUCUAACAGAUUUGUCUCUUAACCUCAGAUCUCUACCACGAACAACAACAACUUCACCUUCUUCUUCAUCUUCUUCCUCUUCUUCAAGAUCUAGCAAUGGAGCAAGAACCUGAGGACGUUCCAAAUGAGAAGAAAGCUUCAUGGGUCGGAUCUGACCGUUGAGGAAUAACUCAUCAGCGGAAGUCAUUGAACCGGAAGCGGCUGAACCGGUGGAUCCGAACCGGGCUGAGAAUUCAAACUCGUAACUCAUAGGAACUGAAGAGGUUGUUGUUUGGUGGUGGUAAGAGGAAGAAGCGGUUAUGGAGAAAUGCAAUGGACUUGCCGGAGCGCUGUAGAAGUAACCGGAGGAGAUGGGUGGUGGGCCGCCGCCGCGGCCAGGACUUGAAGGUGCGCUGACAUAUGGAGUGGAGCAGUUACUGUCAAUGUCUUCGAAGAAGGUUUCGCCGCCAUUGUUGGAGUUUGAAGGUUCUAGAUUAGGGUUUUUGGUAGAAUUUUGAAGCUCCAUGGUUACUAUCUUUAACUCUCUCUGUGUUAUGCAAUUGUUAGUUACUACUAUAUAAACGUGGGAGAGAGAGAGAGAGAGAGACCCUGAUUUCACAAGGUGCAGGGUGAACAAAAAUAUGCAAUGCAAUAAAUAAUAUAUAAAAAAAAAUAUUGAACUGGAUUCUUAAUUGAG